RNAcentral lists this ribosomal RNA (508 nucleotides) under uncultured bacterium. RNAcentral describes it as "partial 16S ribosomal RNA". It matches the Rfam family "Bacterial small subunit ribosomal RNA", at positions 29 to 523 of the family's 1533-position model. The record is from RNAcentral.
AUUGAACGCUGGCGGCAGGCCUAACACAUGCAAGUCGAGCGGCAGCGGGAAAGUAGCUUGCUACUUUUGCCGGCGAGCGGCGGACGGGUGAGUAAUGCCUGGGGAUCUGCCCAGUCGAGGGGGAUAACUACUGGAAACGGUAGCUAAUACCGCAUACGCCCUACGGGGGAAAGCAGGGGACCUUCGGGCCUUGCGCGAUUGGAUGAACCCAGGUGGGAUUAGCUGGUUGGUGAGGUAAUGGCUCACCAAGGCGACGAUCCCUAGCUGGUCUGAGAGGAUGAUCAGCCGCACUGGAACUGAGACACGGUCCAGACUCCUACGGGAGGCAGCAGUGGGGAAUAUUGCACAAUGGGGGAAACCCUGAUGCAGCCAUGCCGCGUGUGUGAAGAAGGCCUUCGGGUUGUAAAGCACUUUCAGCGAGGAGGAAAAGUUGGUAGCUAAUAACUGCCAGCUGUGACGUUACUCGCAGAAGAAGCACCGGCUAACUCCGUGCCAGCCGCCGCCGUAA